UACGUAGGGUGCAAGCGUUAAUCGGAAUUACUGGGCGUAAAGCGUGCGCAGGCGGUUUUGUAAGUCUGUCGUGAAAUCCCCGGGCUCAACCUGGGAAUGGCGGUGGAUACUGGAUAGCUAGAGUGUGUCAGAGGAUGGUGGAAUUCCCGGUGUAGCGGUGAAAUGCGUAGAGAUCGGGAGGAACAUCAGUGGCGAAGGCGGCCAUCUGGGACAACACUGACGCUGAAGCACGAAAGCGUGGGGAGCAAACAGG
RNAcentral lists this ribosomal RNA (253 nucleotides) under uncultured bacterium. RNAcentral's name for it is "partial 16S ribosomal RNA". It matches the Rfam family "Bacterial small subunit ribosomal RNA", at positions 524 to 776 of the family's 1533-position model. The record is from RNAcentral.